CCUCCGUCUGGGCACAGGAAUUGGUAAUCAAUCACGUUACCCUUGCUCUCGUGAUUCAACUGCACAAGAAAGUUAUCAUCAAUAUUUUUUGCUAGGAAGGAAAUAAUCCAGCAAGUCGUUGAUUAGAAAAAAAAUCCUCAUUUUGGAGUCAGCAUCCAAAAGGUCGUAGGAGAGAAAAUCGAACCUCGGCCAAUGAUCGCUCGCAAAGGAAAAUUACGCACUCUUAGCACUCGACUUUGAAAAAUGUAUUUGGCUCGUAACUCUACCGAGUCUCCAGCAAGUCGUUGAUUAGAAGCAAAAUGGAUCAUCGAUCAUCCCAGAAUUGAAAAUCCCCAUUUUGGAGUCAGCACCCAAAAGGUCGAAGGAGAGAAAAUCGAACCUCAGCCAAUGAUCGCUCGCAAAGGUGGGUAUUUUUCUCUAGGUAAGGAAAUAAUUAA
Molecule: long non-coding RNA, 437 nt
Organism: Orussus abietinus
Lineage: Eukaryota; Metazoa; Arthropoda; Insecta; Hymenoptera; Orussidae
Exons: 3
Source: RefSeq, a predicted model, not a curated record